GACGGGGGGGGCAAGCGUUGUUCGGAAUUACUGGGCGUAAAGGGCUCGUAGGCGGCCAACUAAGUCGGAUGUGAAAUCCCCAGGCUUAACCUGGGAACUGCAUCCGAUACUGGAUGGCUUGAAUCCGGGAGAGGGAUGCGGAAUUCCAGGUGUAGCGGUGAAAUGCGUAGAUAUCUGGAGGAACACCGGUGGCGAAGGCGGCAUCCUGGACCGGCAUUGACGCUGAGGAGCGAAAGCCAGGGGAGCAAACGGG
This 253-nucleotide ribosomal RNA is filed under the name uncultured bacterium. RNAcentral's name for it is "partial 16S ribosomal RNA". It matches the Rfam family "Bacterial small subunit ribosomal RNA", at positions 524 to 776 of the family's 1533-position model. The record is from RNAcentral.